GUCACUCUCAGCUCCAGCACCAUGUCUACCUGCAUGCUUCCAUGCUCCCUGUCAUGAUGAUAAUGGACCGAACCUCUGAAACUGGUAUGUGCACAUGAAUGUAGGUGCCCUAGGAGACCAAGUAUGUCAGAUCCCUUGGAGCUGGAGUUACAGGCCGUUGCUAGCCACCUGAUGUGUAUGCUGGGAAUCUAGCUCAGGUCCCCUGCAGAAGCAGUCUUCCCUCUGAACCACUGAGCCAUCCCUCCGGCCCUAGGAUGAAGUAUCUCUAUGUGGGAACCUUAUAUGCCCUCCCAGCACUCAGGCAUUCUAAUCUGUUGACAUCUCAUGGCCACCCUUCAUUGGCUAGGCAUGAUCAGGACAUCUGAC
Molecule: long non-coding RNA, 366 nt
Filed under: Cricetulus griseus (Chinese hamster)
Lineage: Eukaryota; Metazoa; Chordata; Mammalia; Rodentia; Cricetidae
Description: lncRNA (ENSCGRG00015005437.2)
Source: RNAcentral